RNAcentral lists this ribosomal RNA (468 nucleotides) under uncultured bacterium. RNAcentral describes it as "partial 16S ribosomal RNA". It matches the Rfam family "Bacterial small subunit ribosomal RNA", at positions 28 to 507 of the family's 1533-position model. The record is from RNAcentral.
GACGAACGCUGGCGGCGUGCUUAACACAUGCCAGUCGAACGGAAAGGCCCUGCUUUUGUGGGGUGCUCGAGUGGCGAACGGGUGAGUAACACGUGAGUAACCUGCCCUUGACUUUGGGAUAACUUCAGGAAACUGGGGCUAAUACCGGAUAGGAGCUCCUGCUGCAUGGUGGGGGUUGGAAAGUUUCGGCGGUUGGGGAUGGACUCGCGGCUUAUCAGCUUGUUGGUGGGGUAGUGGCUUACCAAGGCUUUGACGGGUAGCCGGCCUGAGAGGGUGACCGGCCACAUUGGGACUGAGAUACGGCACAGACUCCUACGGGAGGCAGCAGUGGGGAAUAUUGCACAAUGGGCGGAAGCCUGAUGCAGCAACGCCGCGUGCGGGAUGACGGCCUUCGGGUUGUAAACCGCUUUCGCCUGUGACGAAGCGUGAGUGACGGUAAUGGGUAAAGAAGCACCGGCUAACUACGUG